AGCGCAGGCGGGAAGGCAAGUUGGAAGUGAAAUCCAUGGGCUCAACCCAUGAACUGCUUUCAAAACUGUUUUUCUUGAGUAGUGCAGAGGUAGGCGGAAUUCCCGGUGUAGCGGUGGAAUGCGUAGAUAUCGGGAGGAACACCAGUGGCGAAGGCGGCCUACUGGGCACCAACUGACGCUGAGGCUCGAAAGUGUGGGUAGCAAACA
This 207-nucleotide ribosomal RNA is filed under the name uncultured bacterium. RNAcentral describes it as "partial 16S ribosomal RNA". It matches the Rfam family "Bacterial small subunit ribosomal RNA", at positions 568 to 774 of the family's 1533-position model. The record is from RNAcentral.